GACGAACGCNGGCGGCGUGCCUAAUACAUGCAAGUAGAACGCACAGGAUGCACCGUAGUUUACUACACCGUAUUCUGUGAGUUGCGAACGGGUGAGUAACGCGUAGGUAACCUGCCUGGUAGCGGGGGAUAACUAUUGGAAACGAUAGCUAAUACCGCAUAAGAACAUUUACUGCAUGGUAGAUGUUUAAAAGGUGCAAAUGCAUCACUACCAGAUGGACCUGCGUUGUAUUAGCUAGUAGGUGAGGUAACGGCUCACCUAGGCGACGAUACAUAGCCGACCUGAGAGGGUGAUCGGCCACACUGGGACUGAGACACGGCCCAGACUCCUACGGGAGGCAGCAGUAGGGAAUCUUCGGCAAUGGGGGGAACCCUGACCGAGCAACGCCGCGUGAGUGAAGAAGGUUUUCGGAUCGUAAAGCUCUGUUGUUAAGGAAGAACGAGUGUGAGAANGGAAAGUUCAUACUGCGAC
This 471-nucleotide ribosomal RNA is filed under the name uncultured bacterium. RNAcentral's name for it is "bacterial SSU rRNA". It matches the Rfam family "Bacterial small subunit ribosomal RNA", at positions 28 to 473 of the family's 1533-position model. The record is from RNAcentral.